This 253-nucleotide ribosomal RNA is filed under the name uncultured bacterium. Its description in RNAcentral is "partial 16S ribosomal RNA". It matches the Rfam family "Bacterial small subunit ribosomal RNA", at positions 524 to 776 of the family's 1533-position model. The record is from RNAcentral.
UACGUAGGGGGCGAGCGUUGUCCGGAUUUAUUGGGCGUAAAGCGUGUGUAGGCGGCCAGGUAGGUCUGCUGUGAAAACUCGAGGCUCAACCUCGAGAUGUCGGCAGAAACCCUCUGGCUAGAGUCCGGAAGAGGAGAGUGGAAUUCCCGGUGUAGCGGUGAAAUGCGCAGAUAUCGGGAAGAACACCCGUGGCGAAGGCGGCUCUCUGGGACGUUACUGACGCUGAGACGCGAAAGCGUGGGGAGCGAACAGG